This 497-nucleotide ribosomal RNA is filed under the name uncultured bacterium. Its description in RNAcentral is "partial 16S ribosomal RNA". It matches the Rfam family "Bacterial small subunit ribosomal RNA", at positions 28 to 506 of the family's 1533-position model. The record is from RNAcentral.
GAUGAACGCUGGCGGCGUGCCUAAUACAUGCAAGUCGAGCGAACAGACGAGGAGCUUGCUCCUCUGACGUUAGCGGCGGACGGGUGAGUAACACGUGGAUAACCUACCUAUAAGACUGGGAUAACUUCGGGAAACCGGAGCUAAUACCGGAUAAUAUAUUGAACCGCAUGGUUCAAUAGUGAAAGACGGUUUUGCUGUCACUUAUAGAUGGAUCCGCGCCGCAUUAGCUAGUUGGUAAGGUAACGGCUUACCAAGGCAACGAUGCGUAGCCGACCUGAGAGGGGUGUUGGCCCACCUUGAACCUGAACCCCGUCCCGGCCUCCUAGGGAAGGCACAGGUGGGAAUCCUCCGCAAUUGGCGGAAACCUUGCCGAACCACCGCCCGUUGGUUAUUGAAGGCUUCCGGUUCGUAAACCUUUUUUAUUGGGAAAAACAAAUUUUGAAGGUAACUAUGCCCUUCUGACCGGUACCUAUCAAGAAGGCCCGGCUAAAUACCGU